This 443-nucleotide ribosomal RNA is filed under the name uncultured bacterium. RNAcentral describes it as "bacterial SSU rRNA". It matches the Rfam family "Bacterial small subunit ribosomal RNA", at positions 339 to 793 of the family's 1533-position model. The record is from RNAcentral.
CUACGGGAGGCAGCAGUGGGGAAUAUUGCACAAUGGGCGGAAGCCUGAUGCAGCGACGCCGCGUGAGGGAUGACGGCCUUCGGGUUGUAAACCUCUUUCAGCCCCGACGAAGCGCAAGUGACGGUAGGGGCAGAAGAAGCGCCGGCCAACUACGUGCCAGCAGCCGCGGUAAGACGUAGGGCGCAAGCGUUGUCCGGAUUUAUUGGGCGUAAAGAGCUCGUAGGCGGCUUGUUGCGUCGACUGUGAAAACCCACGGCUCAACCGUGUGGUCUGCAGUCGAUACGGGCAGGCUAGAGUUCGGUAGGGGAGACUGGAAUUCCUGGUGUAGCGGUGAAAUGCGCAGAUAUCAGGAGGAACACCGGUGGCGAAGGCGGGUCUCUGGGCCGAUACUGACGCUGAGGAGCGAAAGCGUGGGGAGCGAACAGGAUUAGAUACCCUUGUAG